GUGGUGUGAAACAACAUUUAUUCAUCAUGGAGAAUUCACCGAAUGAUGAAUAUACUUUAAAGCACUUCUAUUACCCACUCAAUAUAUCAGAUGAUCAAGAUAUGAGUGACAAUAACAAGACCGCAAUGAGAAGGAGCAACAGUAUAGAUGCUUUUUUUGAAAAGCAAAAGAAAAAGAAGAGACAGUCAAAGUCUUCAUGUGUAGCGCAAGCAAGUGACGGGGGCCUAUCAUAUAUCUCAUCCAACGACGAUGACAGUAUCAGUGCAACACAUCUAAUCAAAAUAGACAUCUAUGACAUGAAGAGAAUUAAAGAUGUUUCGCCUCUUGAAUACUGGAAAUAUGCAGAUUUGCGAUUAAAGUACUACGUUGAAUCUGCUGGUGAUAAGCACUAUCAAAGCAUGCGAGAUAUUAUAUACAACAUUACAAAGCAAAUCGCUGGGAAGCAUGACUGUAAAAAAUACUUUAUUGACAGAGAUAACCAGAAACAAUAAGUAUUCUCUGAACCAGCGGUCGGUAAACAUCACAAAGUAAAAAGACCCUCUAUACGAACCCAUGAAAACUUAAGUGCUUAUUACCUGUAUUUUAAAAAUAUUUUUCUUUAUCUAUUUGCUAUCCCCACUGCUUCAUGCAAGCGAAACUAAUAUAAAAGCUAUCCUUUUUCUUAAAUGUACUUCAUAUUCUAAGUUACCACACAAAACUGCACAAUGACUGUCGAACUCAACGACUUUGUUUACGAAGAAGAAAUGGUUGAGCUAUGUCAAGCAGCGGAAGUUGAAUUUGACUUAGUGAACCUGUGUAUACAAGUAGAAACCGAUCAAGCUGCUUUAUCAAGACAAAGUGGAGGAGGUGUAAAAAGAAAAAUUGCUGUCACAAAAUAUUCUUCGAGUAAGCGUCCAUUUUCUCAAGAGCCUUCAACAUCUGCUGCGGU
This is a long non-coding RNA of Pararge aegeria (speckled wood butterfly), 928 nucleotides long. RefSeq lists it as uncharacterized. Lineage: Eukaryota; Metazoa; Arthropoda; Insecta; Lepidoptera; Nymphalidae. The record is from RefSeq and is a predicted model, not a curated record. The transcript is spliced from 3 exons.